CUGGCCACAGCAGGUGAUAGCCCUGUAUCUGAAAGCACUGGUGUUGUGAGUCCGAUGAGUAAGGCGGGACACGUGUUAUCCUGUCUGAAUACGGGGGGACCAUCCUCCAAGGCUAAAUACUCCUGACUGACCGAUAGUGAACCAGUACCGUGAGGGAAAGGCGAAAAGAACCCCGGCGAGGGGAGUGAAAAAGAACCUGAAACCGUGU
This 208-nucleotide ribosomal RNA is filed under the name Morganella morganii. RNAcentral describes it as "partial 23S ribosomal RNA". It matches the Rfam family "Bacterial large subunit ribosomal RNA", at positions 351 to 561 of the family's 2925-position model. The record is from RNAcentral. Lineage: Bacteria; Pseudomonadati; Pseudomonadota; Gammaproteobacteria; Enterobacterales; Morganellaceae.